This 491-nucleotide ribosomal RNA is filed under the name uncultured bacterium. RNAcentral's name for it is "partial 16S ribosomal RNA". It matches the Rfam family "Bacterial small subunit ribosomal RNA", at positions 29 to 507 of the family's 1533-position model. The record is from RNAcentral.
AGUGAACGCUGGCGGUAGGCCUAACACAUGCAAGUCGAACGGCAGCACAGUAAGAGCUUGCUCUUACGGGUGGCGAGUGGCGGACGGGUGAGGAAUACAUCGGAAUCUACUUUUUCGUGGGGGAUAACGUAGGGAAACUUACGCUAAUACCGCAUACGACCUACGGGUGAAAGCAGGGGAUCUUCGGACCUUGCGCGAUUGAAUGAGCCGAUGUCGGAUUAGCUAGUUGGCGGGGUAAAGGCCCACCAAGGCGACGACCGUAGCUGGUCUGAGAGGAUGAUCAGCCACACUGGAACUGAGACACGGUCCAGACUCCUACGGGAGGCAGCAGUGGGGAAUAUUGGACAAUGGGCGCAAGCCUGAUCCAGCCAUACCGCGUGGGUGAAGAAGGCCUUCGGGUUGUAAAGCCCUUUUGUUGGGAAAGAAAAGCAGCAGGUUAAUACCCCGCUGUUCUGACGGUACCCAAAGAAUAAGCACCGGCUAACUUCGUG